UUGCCUACGGGGCGCAGCAGUGGGGGAUAUUGCACAAUGGGGGAAACCCUGAUGCAGCGACGCCGCGUGAGCGAUGAAGUAUUUCGGUAUGUAAAGCUCUAUCAGCAGGGAAGAAAAUGACGGUACCUGACUAAGAAGCCCCGGCUAACUACGUGCCAGCAGCCGCGGUAAUACGUAGGGGGCAAGCGUUAUCCGGAUUUACUGGGUGUAAAGGGAGCGUAGACGGCGGCGCAAGUCCGGAGUAAAAGCCCACGGCCCAACCGUGGGACUGCUCUGGAAACUGUGCGGCUUGAGUGCGGGAGGGG
This 305-nucleotide ribosomal RNA is filed under the name uncultured bacterium. RNAcentral describes it as "bacterial SSU rRNA". It matches the Rfam family "Bacterial small subunit ribosomal RNA", at positions 335 to 657 of the family's 1533-position model. The record is from RNAcentral.